AUUGAACGCUGGCGGCAUGCUUUACACAUGCAAGUCGAACGGUAACAGGUUAAGCUGACGAGUGGCGAACGGGUGAGUAAUGCAUCGGAACGUGCCCGAUCGUGGGGGAUAACGCAGCGAAAGCUGCGCUAAUACCGCAUACGAUCUGAGGAUGAAAGCGGGGGACCGUAAGGCCUCGCGCGAUCGGAGCGGCCGAUGACAGAUUAGGUAGGUGGUGGGGUAAAGGCGCACCAAGCCGACGAUCUGUAGCUGGUCUGAGAGGACGACCAGCCACACUGGGACUGAGACACGGCCCAGACUCCUACGGGAGGCAGCAGUGGGGAAUAUUGGACAAUGGGCGAAAGCCUGAUCCAGCAAUGCCGCGUGCAGGAAGAAGGCCUUCGGGUUGUAAACUGCUUUUGUACGGAGCGAAAAGGCUCUCUCUAAUACAGGGGGCUCAUGACGGUACCGUAAGAAUAAGCACCGGCUAACUACGUGCCAGCCGCCGCAGUAA
This 493-nucleotide ribosomal RNA is filed under the name uncultured bacterium. RNAcentral describes it as "partial 16S ribosomal RNA". It matches the Rfam family "Bacterial small subunit ribosomal RNA", at positions 29 to 523 of the family's 1533-position model. The record is from RNAcentral.